AAGGAGGGAUGGCGCUGUUUAUCAAGGGAGGCGGGCGGUUGCCGACCUGCGCCAGGGGAGGCGGGCGUAUACGCUGCAAGCGAGAGCUUGGAGGCUUGGGUGGGUGAAUAGGGGGAGGCGUGGAGAACCUCUCAUGAGCCGGGGAUCCGGUGAGUUUCUGGACCACGUCUCUGAAAUCAUUCUUGUUGAUAUUGUACACCGGUGGUUGAUGUUGCUGCUGCUGUGCCUGCUGAUUCUGCUGCUGCUGCGAUUGCGGUUGCUGUUGCGGUUG
RNAcentral lists this unclassified non-coding RNA (271 nucleotides) under Hevea brasiliensis (rubber tree). Lineage: Eukaryota; Viridiplantae; Streptophyta; Magnoliopsida; Malpighiales; Euphorbiaceae. The record is from RNAcentral.